This 424-nucleotide long non-coding RNA is filed under the name Fragaria vesca (wild strawberry). RNAcentral describes it as "long non-coding RNA (FVES_LNC003751)". Lineage: Eukaryota; Viridiplantae; Streptophyta; Magnoliopsida; Rosales; Rosaceae. The record is from RNAcentral.
AUCAGAGAUAGCGACCGAAGAUGCUCAUAUUUUAUACUUUCUGAUACCAACAUUUCUUUCAACUUUUCCAACUGACUAGAUCGUGAUGCAAUUAUGCCUAAUUUUUUCAGAUUGGGUAGCCGAACAAGAUCAUUCAAAUUACAUUUCUCAAUUCUAACAUUGACCAACGUCUGCAAAUUGCACAGCUUUGCAAAUGACAGUUUCCGACCGCUUACAGUGUGCUCCGCAGGUAAAUAUAAAUGCCUCAGUUGCUCCAUAUUCAAAAAUACAUUUGUGAUUUUGAUUAUCCUCCAUCCAUAUUUGAAAUGGCCACGCAGAUCUAGAGUCUGCAAAAGUAUCAGCUUAUAUACAGAUGAUGGCAACGCACGAAAUUCGCUAUCCCUCAGACUUAGAAACCUCAAGUGGACUAGGUUCCCAAUCGUCU